This 825-nucleotide ribosomal RNA is filed under the name uncultured bacterium. RNAcentral describes it as "SSU rRNA". It matches the Rfam family "Bacterial small subunit ribosomal RNA", at positions 60 to 898 of the family's 1533-position model. The record is from RNAcentral.
AGUCGAGCGAUGAAGUUUCUUCGGAAAUGGAUUAGCGGCGAACGGGUGAGGAACACGUGAAGAAUCUGCCCUCCACUUUGGGAUAACACCGGGAAACCGGUGCUAAUACCGAAUAUUGAAACAUAAGUGGCAUCACUGAGUUUUGAAAGAAUUUCGGUGGAGGAUGACUUCGCGGCCUAUCAGCUAGUUGGUGAGGUAAUGGCUCACCAAGGCAACGACGGGUAGCCGGCCUGAGAGGGCGACCGGCCACACUGGGACUGAGACACGGCCCAGACCCCUACGGGAGGCAGCAGUGGGGAAUAUUGGGCAAUGGAGGAAACUCUGACCCAGCGACGCCGCGUGCGGGAUGAAGGCCUUCGGGUUGUAAACCGCUUUCAGUAGGGAAGAAGCGAAAGUGACGGUACCUACAAAAGAAGCACCGGCUAACUAUGUGCCAGCAGCCGCGGUAAUACAUAGGGUGCAAGCGUUGUCCGGAAUUAUUGGGCGUAAAGAGCUCGUAGGUCGUUUGUUACGUCAGAUGUGAAAACCUGAGGCUCAACCUCAGGCCUGCAUUCGAUACGGGCAAACUAGAGUUUGGUAGGGGAGACUGGAAUUCCUGGUGUAGCGGUGGAAUGCGCAGAUAUCAGGAGGAACACCAAUGGCGAAGGCAGGUCUCUGGGCCAAUACUGACACUGAGGAGCGAAAGUCUGGGGAGCGAACAGGAUUAGAUACCCUGGUAGUCCAGACCGUAAACGGUGGGCACUAGUUGUGGGAACCUUCCACGGUUUCUGCGACGCAGCUAACGCAUUAAGUGCCCCGCCUGGGGAGUACGAUCGCAAGAUUAAA